AUCGGAUUAGUUUAUGUAAAAUUUCGGGAUGUGGGCUCGAAGAAGAGCAAAUAGCUCAUCUGAUA
Molecule: transfer RNA, 65 nt
Filed under: Umbonium thomasi
Lineage: Eukaryota; Metazoa; Mollusca; Gastropoda; Trochida; Trochidae
Description: tRNA-His
Source: RNAcentral